Molecule: long non-coding RNA, 5198 nt
Filed under: Citrus x clementina
Lineage: Eukaryota; Viridiplantae; Streptophyta; Magnoliopsida; Sapindales; Rutaceae
Description: Citrus clementina (C. clementina) long non-coding RNA (CCLE_LNC004640)
Source: RNAcentral
GUUAGGAUUCAGCGACCACACAAAGGGCCUUUUUAUGUAUCUCCCAAAACAAUUGAUGAGCUCAUUGAAAACCUUGGGAAAUGGGCAAGGUUGUAUAUAACACAAGCAUACAAGGAUUCCUGCUUUUUUACAUGAAUUCACAAGGUUGAAUCCAUUAGAAUAAUAGAGAGAAAGAAACUAAUGAGAUGUAUCUACCAGGUGGUACAAGUAUGCCUCUUUUGGUUUAACAAUCUUCGGCACUUUCCUGAUUGCUAAGCGUGCUAUUCAUUAUAUCUUGCAAAGAAAGCGCCGUUGGGAAUUACAUAGAAGGUAUGCCUAAUUCAUUAUUCAUAUGAGGGGAAAAGAAGAAGGGGGGGGUGGGGGGGAAGGGACAAGGGAAUACAAAAAUUUGACGUACAUGCAUAACGAGAUUCUGUAUGUUGACAUAGCCGCCAGUGAUAAACCUGUGUCACUGAACAUAGGUAUUUGCAUGCAAGUUGAAAGCGAAAUCAUGGUUGGCCAGUCCUAUUGCCAAAAAUUUAUGAUGAUAUUAUUUUGUGAGUAACAUGGAUAGUUCUUAUUUUUUCAUGAUAAACUGAAUUGUAAAGCUCUGUCUGUGUAGGGUUCUUGCUGCAGCAGCAGUCAAGAGAUCAGAGCAAGAUAAUGAAGGUAAAUUAUCUGGUUGUUUACAUAGUUGUUGUUAUAAAAGAGCAAAUAAAAUAGAUAUGAUCUAGUCUCAGAAUAUUGCAUUUAUUUUGUAGGCACAAAUGGUCAAGCUGAGAAUGGAUCAGAUGGUACUCAAAGGGACCGUGUGAUGCCAGAUCUAUGUGUGAUAUGCCUUGAGCAAGAGUACAAUGCUGUUUUUGUCCCGUAAGCACGCUAGCUCUCUAUUAUUUGAAUUAUACAGACUGUCAAAUAACUGUGAGAAAAAGACUAUAAAUCGACAGUCUGUACAAAUUGCUUUUUGAGUUUUGACUUAUGCAGCUUUGAAAUUAAACAAAUUGCCUACUGCUUAUGUUCUGUAGGUGUGGUCAUAUGUGCUGUUGCAUUAUAUGCUCUUCGCACUUGACAAACUGUCCUCUUUGUCGGAGACGGAUUGAUCAGGUGGUGAGGACUUUCCGGCAUUGAGGAUUUGCAUGCUUCUGAUAUAUUUGUAGCAACUGUACUGCUGAGAAAUGCGUGGAUGAUCAGGAUCUUGAUUUUUGAGCCAUUUAAGAUUCUGAGGGUGUAAAAUAUUCCUCGUGAUUGCAGUAACUUAACAAAGUAACACGUGUAAAUUCCUCACUUCUCAGCGCCCUAUGUAAAUGUUUAGAAAUAUUUUCCUUUCCCAGCAGAAGAAUGACUGUCUGCAUCGUUGCAGUUAGAUUUAUUUUUAAGUAAAUUUGUACUUGAGAUCCUUUUUCGUUUGUUCAUCAUGUUUAUUUAUGUAUGUAUCCUCUUCUACAAUAUUUAUGUGUUGAAUUUAUUAGUAUGUAUUAGAUCAUCUAUUCCGCUUGCCAUUCAUCUGAAGUUAAGUUUUAGUUUCGAAAAAUUAAUAAUUAUGGCAGUGGCUAUGGCCUAGUCCUACGGGCUGGCGGUGCCCCAGGCUUGUGCGAACGAUGACACAAGCCAUUUAUAAACUAACAGUAAUAAGGGAAUUUUUUUUUUUUUGGUAUAAAUGAAUUAAUUAAGAGAAAUUAUCAUUGUAUCGAUUUUAUUUUAUCUUAUGUUCAUCCAAUCAUUACAAAAUUUUAACAUAUAUUUUGCAUCACUUUUUUUUUUCAUAUUUAUAUCAACUAGCCACUUUUGCAUUAAUGUUAUUAAAUAAUUUUAAUAAAAUAAUAAUUUUACUCCUAAAUAAAUUAAAAUACUAUUUUAUCUUAUAAAAACUUUUAAAAUUAAAAAUUAUAAUCAUAAAAAUAUUUCUAAAUUUAAUAAAAAAUAAAUCACAAAUAGAGGUGCUCAACUGAUUUUUACUAAAUUUAGAUUUGAUAUAAAAUCGCAUCCUCUUUCCUUUUUUUUUUCCUUUUCCCAUCCACAUUCACUUCUCCUCGAUUUUGUUAAUUAAUUAAUGAGAAAUUAUCAUUGCACCAUCUUUAUUUUACUUUAUAUUCAUUCAACCACUACAAAAUUUUAACAUAUAUUUUACACCAUAUUUUUUUUUCACAUUUAUAUCAACUUGCUACUUUUACAUUUGCCUCGUGUUUUCAGCACCCCUCUCUCUUUUUCUUUCCUUUAACCGAACAUGUAUUCAUUCAGUUACUCGCUCUUCGCGUCUGAAGUAUGGGUUGGGACGUGUCAAACUUGAUCAAUAGCUUUAGAUUAUUUUCGAAUCUAGGCGCCCUAGGAUUUUGGGGGGGCCAUGUACGUUAAUAGUAAAUGUCUUAUGUGUUAGCAUACAAUAAUCACAAUUCAAUCCGCGGGAAAGAAACCACCCAAUUGGGCAAUGAAGAACCAUCAACUAACACGAGAACCUGCGACACAAUUACAAAUUUGCUACAAGAUCGUUUUUUUAAGCUCUCGUGUCUUUCAAAGUCGUGCAUUUGCACAUAAUAGCGAAUCCGAUACCUUCUUGAUCUUUAUUUGAAGUCGUCAUAGACACACGUUCAUUAAGCUACUUGUUUUAAUUGCACUGUCAAUUCUCGCAUCUAAUUCUCCCUUGAGUGUUGAUAAACUAACAAGCGUCAACUUAUUUAAUUGCUCGUUAAUUUCCAAAUCUGCUUUCAUUUUUUUUUUUUUCCAAAUUGCACUGUCGUUUUACAUAAAGUGUCGUUUCGUUCUGAUUCUGCACAUGAGAAUUGCUUACAAUAGAUAGUAUGUGAUUGGAGAAAUUAGGUUUUGAUAGGGGUAAGUUAAAGAUGAUUUCAUGGGGCGGCAUCAGCUGCUGCUUGAGUGGAGCUGCUCUUUAUCUGCUCGGCCGGAGCAGUGGCAGGUCACAACUCCCUAAUUUCUCUUCCUUUUUCUUUUUUGGCAUUAAAAGAUUAGGUAUAUAGAAACAUGAAUUUCAUGUAAUUUUAUUUGUUUGUUAAAUUUUGUGUGUUUUGGUUUGUUGCAGAGAUGCGGAGCUUCUUAAGACAGUCACGCGUGUCAAUCAACUCGAGGAGUUGGGUAUGUGAAGGUCCAAUUGUUAUUUUGGUUUUGAUGGGCUUAAAUGCUCGCCUGCCUGCUUGCAGAUUGUUAGUUUUUUGUUUGGUUUGGAUGUUGACACAAAAGAUGUUCUGUAGACAUAUUUACAACAUAAUUAGGCAAUAUGGAUGUAUUUGUAUUUGUAUUUCCCUAUGCGUAAUGUUAAUGACUUAGACUUGAUGCUAUGACUGAAUUUUGUGAAAGGAACAUAUAAGUCUGGUUGUAUACUCGUUCUUUCUAUUUCCACCUGUGAAUACUGAUUUGUUGAUAUUGCGUGAUCGAAUUCUGAUAAAGUUGUUGGAAUAGUUAUCCACCUUGAAACAUUUAAAACUUAUACCCUGAUUGGCAACUGGGUUGAUUGUUAUGUUGAAAAAUGAGCUAGGGGACAUUAGUGCAAAUGUCUGUUGAAGUUCAUAUUGCAGGCGUAGUGCAGACAACUUAGGUUACAUGUGGAACAUAUGUUGGUUGCCGAUUUAGUUUGUUGCUGAUGGCAUUGUUGAUGCUGCAAUAUCUUUCCCAAAGAAUAAGGUUUUCUCUUCUUUCACCUUUCAGCACACUUAUUGGAUGGUGGAAGUAAAGUUUUGCCAUCCAUUGUUUCGGUCUCUGGAAGAGUUGGCUCUGAAACACCAAUUAGCUGUGAAUAUAGUGGGUUGAGAGGCGUGAUUGUUGAGGAAACGGUGGAACUUAAUUUCUUUUUUUUCAAUUACGAGCAUAAAUUGCAUUAUUUAUCAACGUUCCUUUUUGUAUGAAUACAUAAACAUUCUUGUCCUUUGGUUCUUCAGACUGAACGACACUUUCUGAAACACAAUGAUGCCGGGUCUUGGAUCCAAGAUUCUGCAUUAAUGUUGUCAAUGAGCAAGGAGGUUCCAUGGUAUCUAGUGAGACUCCCUCUCUAUCUCUCUGUCUAACCUGCUUGUUUAGUCAGUAAAUCCACUGUAAAUAUUGCUUUUGAUGGUUCGAUGAAACUGCUUAUUUGAAAGCCAAAAGUGAAGGUUUAUGAUUACUAUUGUAUCAUAUAUAAACUCCAAUGCUGGAUUCGAGGGGAUUCAUUGAUGAUUUCUUUUGCACUUAUCAGGAUGAUGGGACUGGCUGUGUGUUUGUAGUGGGAGCCCGUGGUGCCACAGGUUUUGCAUUGACUGUUGGAAGUGAAGUUUUUGAAGAGUCAGGAAGAUCACUUGUACAUGGAACAUUAGACUACCUCCAAGGCCUCAAGGUUUUUGUUCUUCAACUUUUUCAUUAUACGAGAACACCCACAUUGUUCUUGCUUGGCUUAUUUGAUGGGAGUUUAUGAUUUUAGAUGCUUGGAGUCAAGCGUAUUGGACGGCUACUCCCAACUGGUACUUCGUUGACUGUAGUUGGAGAGGUAUGGCUUACUUUAGUGAAUAAAAUAAUAUGGCAUCUUGUCUUUUUGUAUACAAUGCGAUUGAACAUUAUCAGAUUUAACUUUUGAGAUAGAUAUACUGCUAAAAUAACAAGGUCUACUAGAUGAAGAUGUAUUGAAAGUAAUUGCCUUUAGUAAUACGCAUGACAAAGGGAAAAAAUAAAUAAAUAAAAGGGAAGAUAACAUUGCUUGGAAUCCAGAAUGUGGGUCUCUGCAAGUCAAUUCUGAUUGUCGAAGAAUGAAUUUUGCAUGAAUAGGAAUACGAAUUCUUUAUAGCAGCACAAUUGACCUUGUUGUUAGUUUGUGGGUGGAAAACCAUUACACUUGCUCCAGCCAAUGAGUUUUGUAUUGUCAUAGUGCAACAUUUUGUCAAUGUUUAAUAUGUAGUCCGCUUCCAAUUUCUGUUGAUUUAAUGUGAGCCAUUUUUCCUGUGUUCAUCAUAUGUGUUUGCCAAUGAUUAUGCUAAGUUAUUUACUUGCAUCUGCUUUUGUUAUUUUAAUUUGCAAUCAGGCUGUGAAAGACGAUAUUGGAACAGUUAGGAUUCAGCGACCACACAAAGGGCCUUUUUAUGUAUCUCCCAAAACAAUUGAUGAGCUCCUUGAAAACCUUGGGAAAUGGGCGAGGUUGUUUAUAACACAAGCACACAAUGAUUGCUCCUUUUUUCACACAAAUUCACAAGUUUGAAUCCAUUAGAAUAAUAGAGAGAAAGAAACUAAUGAGAUGUAUCUACCAG